This 511-nucleotide ribosomal RNA is filed under the name uncultured bacterium. RNAcentral's name for it is "bacterial SSU rRNA". It matches the Rfam family "Bacterial small subunit ribosomal RNA", at positions 25 to 518 of the family's 1533-position model. The record is from RNAcentral.
CAGGACGAACGCUGGCGGCGUGCUUAACACAUGCAAGUCGAACGGAGAUUCAGCAAUGGAUCUUAGUGGCGAACGGGUGAGUAACGCGUAGGCAAUCUGCCUUCUAGAUGGGGACAACAUCCCGAAAGGGGUGCUAAUACCGAAUGUUGUACCGUUUCCGCAUGGAGAUGAUACUAAAGGUGGCCUCUGAAUAUGCUACCGCUAGAAGAUGAGCCUGCGUCUGAUUAGCUAGUUGGAGGGGUAACGGCCCACCAAGGCUUCGAUCAGUAGCCGGUCUGAGAGGAUGAACGGCCACACUGGGACUGAGACACGGCCCAGACUCCUACGGGAGGCAGCAGUGGGGAAUCUUCCGCAAUGGACGAAAGUCUGACGGAGCAACGCCGCGUGAAGUGAAGAAGGUUUUCGGAUCGUAAAGCUCUUUCGUUAGGGACGAACGUGCUCUUUGUGAAUAAUGAGGAGUAAUGACGGUACCUAAAUAAGAAGCCACGGCUAACUACGUGCCAGCAGCCGC